Molecule: ribosomal RNA, 429 nt
Filed under: Chloroflexota bacterium
Lineage: Bacteria; Bacillati; Chloroflexota
Description: Chloroflexi bacterium partial 16S ribosomal RNA
Rfam family: Bacterial small subunit ribosomal RNA
Source: RNAcentral
UGGGGAAUAUUGCACAAUGGGCGCAAGCCUGAUGCAGCCAUGCCGCGUGUAUGAAGAAGGACUUCGGGUUGUAAAGUACUUUCAGCGGGGAGGAAGGGAGUAAAGUUAAUACCUUUGCUCAUUGACGUUACCCGCAGAAGAAGCACCGGCUAACUCCGUGCCAGCAGCCGCGGUAAUACGGAGGGUGCAAGCGUUAAUCGGAAUUACUGGGCGUAAAGCGCACGCAGGCGGUUUGUUAAGUCAGAUGUGAAAUCCCCGGGCUCAACCUGGGAACUGCAUCUGAUACUGGCAAGCUUGAGUUUCGUAGAGGGGGGUAGAAUUCCAGGUGUAGCGGUGAAAUGCGUAGAGAUCUGGAGGAAUAACGGUGGCGAAGGCGGCCCCCUGGACGAAGACUGACGCUCAGGUGCGAAAGCGUGGGGAGCAAACAGG